GGGUGCGAUCAUACCAGCGUUAAUGCACCGGAUCCCAUCAGAACUCCGCAGUUAAGCACGCUUGGGCUGGAGUAGUACUAGGAUGGGUGACCUCCUGG
Molecule: ribosomal RNA, 98 nt
Filed under: Ginkgo biloba (maidenhair tree)
Lineage: Eukaryota; Viridiplantae; Streptophyta; Ginkgoopsida; Ginkgoales; Ginkgoaceae
Source: RNAcentral